RNAcentral lists this ribosomal RNA (755 nucleotides) under Streptococcus sp. HXF0006. RNAcentral's name for it is "bacterial SSU rRNA". It matches the Rfam family "Bacterial small subunit ribosomal RNA", at positions 56 to 796 of the family's 1533-position model. The record is from RNAcentral. Lineage: Bacteria; Bacillati; Bacillota; Bacilli; Lactobacillales; Streptococcaceae.
UGCAGUAGAACGCUGAAGCUUGGUGCUUGCACCGAGCGGAUGAGUUGCGAACGGGUGAGUAACGCGUAGGUAACCUGCCUCUUAGCGGGGGAUAACUAUUGGAAACGAUAGCUAAUACCGCAUAAAAGUCAACAUUGCAUGAUGUUGACUUGAAAGGUGCAAAUGCAUCACUAAGAGAUGGACCUGCGUUGUAUUAGCUAGUUGGUGAGGUAACGGCUCACCAAGGCGACGAUACAUAGCCGACCUGAGAGGGUGAUCGGCCACACUGGGACUGAGACACGGCCCAGACUCCUACGGGAGGCAGCAGUAGGGAAUCUUCGGCAAUGGACGGAAGUCUGACCGAGCAACGCCGCGUGAGUGAAGAAGGUUUUCGGAUCGUAAAGCUCUGUUGUAAGAGAAGAACGAGUGUGAGAGUGGAAAGUUCACACUGUGACGGUAACUUACCAGAAAGGGACGGCUAACUACGUGCCAGCAGCCGCGGUAAUACGUAGGUCCCGAGCGUUAUCCGGAUUUAUUGGGCGUAAAGCGAGCGCAGGCGGUUAGAUAAGUCUGAAGUUAAAGGCUGUGGCUUAACCAUAGUACGCUUUGGAAACUGUUUAACUUGAGUGCAGAAGGGGAGAGUGGAAUUCCAUGUGUAGCGGUGAAAUGCGUAGAUAUAUGGAGGAACACCGGUGGCGAAAGCGGCUCUCUGGUCUGUAACUGACGCUGAGGCUCGAAAGCGUGGGGAGCAAACAGGAUUAGAUACCUGGUAGUCA